Molecule: long non-coding RNA, 334 nt
Filed under: Homo sapiens (human)
Lineage: Eukaryota; Metazoa; Chordata; Mammalia; Primates; Hominidae
Description: non-protein coding lnc-SLFN5-2:1
Source: RNAcentral
UGCUAACGUGGAAGAUGGCAAGGAGCCCUGUGCCUUGUCCUCUCACUCUGGGAGCACAGGCUGCAAGUUGGAAGGGCAACAAAAAUGUUCUCUCUCCAGGUGUGAAACACAGUGGGCAUGUAGAGCUGCGACACGGAGUGCCAUACAACUGCCAUCUGCAGGGUUGAGGUGAUGGAUGCCUUUCUUGGGUGUCAAGCUGAAAACAAGAGAACUGUGCUGUCAUCUGAGGAGAAUGUAAUCACUCCUUCCACAACUGUUGCAUGUCCCUGUGGGUACAACAGAGCAAUCACUGACCUCUCUGCCAGCAAGACUGGAUGGUCUAAAGAAUAAGAGA